GGACAGUCUGGCUACAAUGUCUGUCACCCCCAUUGAUUGCCAGUGUUGAUUCGGCUGAUCUGGCUGAUCACUCCUGCUAGAUAAGGAUGUUUUCAAGGCUAUACAGGUAGCUCCAUUCUCCUAGUAGCACCUACAAACAAGCUCCCAAGGAGACUACAGGGAAAUUUUAUAAUGUAGUUUUCAAACUUUAGAGUAUCUUCAUGAAAAAUAUAAUUCUGAGAAAACAUUCCUGUGGCCUUUACAU
RNAcentral lists this small nuclear RNA (244 nucleotides) under Fukomys damarensis (Damara mole-rat). Its description in RNAcentral is "7SK RNA". It matches the Rfam family "7SK RNA". From Rfam's summary of the family: 7SK was discovered as an abundant small nuclear RNA in the mid-70s but a possible function has only recently been suggested. Two independent studies have found that 7SK RNA binds the CDK9/cyclin T complex (known as elongation factor P-TEFb). The record is from Rfam by way of RNAcentral. Lineage: Eukaryota; Metazoa; Chordata; Mammalia; Rodentia; Bathyergidae.